CCACAGUGUACAAAAAUUGUCUCCGCGUCGCGGACAAGACGUGCACUCCUCUGUCUCAAAAUUUAAUUUCACGAUUAUUUAUUUAGAAAUAUCUCCGCGUCGCGAACUUGUUCCAAGACGGUGAUUUCGUAACUUUUCUCAAGUUUAGCUAUUUGAAAUCAUUCCUACACAUCAUGAGGUCUUUCCAAACACAAAUCAUGAUCCUUGAAUCCAUAAUUCAAUUCAAGGAUUAGUUAAGAGUC
Molecule: long non-coding RNA, 242 nt
Filed under: Solanum tuberosum (potato)
Lineage: Eukaryota; Viridiplantae; Streptophyta; Magnoliopsida; Solanales; Solanaceae
Description: long non-coding RNA (STUB_LNC001738)
Source: RNAcentral